Molecule: long non-coding RNA, 718 nt
Organism: Physella acuta
Lineage: Eukaryota; Metazoa; Mollusca; Gastropoda; Physidae
Source: RefSeq, a predicted model, not a curated record
CGCACCAAUUGCGCACACAAAAGACAUGACGACAAAAAAUUUCUGAUAGACGGAAAUAGUUCUGUUUUACAGUUGUUUACAAUGAAACGAUUAUAAAUUUUACAAGAUUGUGGAUCUUUGAAGUGCAAGCGAACGAAAUGGUCGGGUCAUGUGAAGCAGCUCCAGAACAUUCUAAAGGUCCUGAUGUUGUGUUUGUCAACGACGGCAAGACGACCUACAUCAACGGCGGCAACCACGGGGACACCCCCCUUUCUGGCUCCCACCCCAGACAAGCCCCGCCCAGAAAAAGACAACAUCCAUGUGAUGAUGAAAGUGAAACCUAUAACAAGAAGACAAGGAAUGACGGUCAUGGAGGCUCGAACUAAGGACCUUUGGUUGAUGGGUCAAGGUUCAUCUGCUCGUUCUUUUGGAUGCAUUCUACUCUAUAAAUGUUGAUAUAUUUUUUUUUAUAAUAUAUGUAUGUACACAGACACAUUCAUAGAAACACAUAUAGACGCACACGCUGACCGACACAGACGCACAUACAAACGCAUACAGAUACACGCACAAAUGAACACACACCGACGAUAACAAAUGUCUACCAAUUGGUAUGUAAUUCUAGGUAACCGAAUAUGGUGAGGGUAUAGGCUAGACCAUGCUAAAAUAAUGUGUCGUGCAGACUUCAGAUUUAAGUCGUGUAUUUUGACAGUAAUCUGUUCCAUCACUUGUCAAAAUAAAA